Molecule: ribosomal RNA, 305 nt
Filed under: uncultured bacterium
Lineage: Bacteria
Description: bacterial SSU rRNA
Rfam family: Bacterial small subunit ribosomal RNA
Source: RNAcentral
UCUGCCUACGGGGCGCAGCAGUGGGGAAUAUUGCACAAUGGGGGGAACCCUGAUGCAGCAAUGCCGCGUGAAGGAUGAAGGUUUUCGGAUUGUAAACUUCUUUUGUACGGGACGAAGAAAAUGACGGUACCUGAAGAAGAAGCCCCGGCUAACUACGUGCCAGCAGCCGCGGUAAUACGUAGGGGGCAAGCGUUAUCCGGAUUUACUGGGUGUAAAGGGGGCGCAGACGGCGAUGCAAGCCAGGAGUGAAAGCCCGGGGCCCAACCCCGGGACUGCUCUUGGAACUGCGUGGCUGGAGUGCAGGG